Molecule: non-coding RNA, 4549 nt
Organism: Nothobranchius furzeri (turquoise killifish)
Lineage: Eukaryota; Metazoa; Chordata; Actinopteri; Cyprinodontiformes; Nothobranchiidae
Source: RefSeq, a predicted model, not a curated record
ACACCUAAAAACGGCCAGUGAAGGUGAUAUAAAACACUUGACAUCUUAUUGGGGACCCUUUGAUUUAUGACAAAAUGUGGAAUUGCAAGUUGUGUAGUUUUUCUACUGCGAUAAAAGUCAUGUUGCUGAAACAUUACCGGCUUAACCAUGGCCAGUACUCCACAAUUUCACCUUUACCCUGUCUCUACACCACCUGCAUGUGUACAUUUAGUACAUUUAAUUCAUUAAAGGUACAUAUGUCAAGAAUACAUACUGCUACACAAAGAAAAGACCAUUCAAAUCCAGCUUUUAAUAAUUAUGGAUUUUGCUGCCCUGUGUGUAACUUUAAGCAGCCAUUUAUUGAAAGGCAAAUGUUUAUCCAUCUGAGGGGGCAUUUAAAACUGAAAGAAAUUGUUCCAUGUCCUUUCAAGGGCUGCAAUUUUAAAACCAAUGUAUACUCAACAUUCAAUGUGCACAAAUGCCGAGAACACCAAAGUUCAGCACAUUAUGAUGAAGGCAUUGUGCAAAGUGUCCUAAAUGUAGGCCAAAAGGAUGUUAUGCAGCUUGAUUCAGUAGAACCAUUAGAUGAAAGUGAAGUGGCAUCCACUAGUGAAAUGAGUACAACUGACGGUUUAGAAGAGCAGUUGCAGCACAAUCUAGCUGGCUUUUUCUUGAAAAUGCAGAGCAUUCUCCAUGUGUCCCAGAGAGCAACACAGGAGAUCAUUGAGUAGGGCUGGGGGUAAACGAUUAUUUUUAAAACGAUUAUUCUGACGAUUAUUUUAUCGAAUAGUCGACUAUUCUAAUGACUAUUUAGAAAAUUAAUCUAAUGAUUAUUUUUCUAUUGCACAAUUAACAAAAACCAGAAAAUCUCAAAUAAAUUCCUCAAAAAAAUUGAUAAAUUCUUACUGUAAGAGAAUAAACACUACAGGCCUUCCAUUUUGUAUAACACUGCUUUUAUUGUGUUGCGGUUGGUUAUGUUCUGGUGACGUGUAGAACUUGGGAGUGCAGGCUGCUGCCUGAGAGGUGGUAGAAGAUGGAGUGUCUCCAUGCUGCUUUGUUUUGGUCACUUAUGUGCGUGAGGCGAGUGGUCUUACGGGUUAAACCAAACUCAGGUGGUAUUUUACACUAAACCGAAAACCCACAACACUCUAAAUGUAAUAAAAGGGAGAUCUACACCACAAAAAAGAUGAACUCUAAACCAAAACGUAACAGCUUAUCCCAACGCAAGAAGCUGUUAGCGAAGAUGCUAACAGUAGCUUUACCAACGUUAAGUUCAAGUUACCAAGUUUAAAUAAACCAAAAACACCCAGCAGCAAACAGACCAGCACGGAGGAGAGACUGCUACCACCAAAACAGCUCUCCUCAUGUCUGAAAGAAGCUCCUUAAUGAAGGGAGAAGCGCUCCCGGUGAUUUUCUACAUCUGCGAUAGACACGAAGCAGCGCAUCUGACCCCGGAAGUUGUUGUCCGUUGCCGGGAGACGAAGGGGCAAAACAGGAAAAUAAUCUAGUAGUGGACGGACGUUGUUCCGGGUCUUCGGUAUUUGGCGGAGAUUUUAGUGAAGGCGGAGAAGAGGGCGAACUAGAGGAAGAACGGGCAGAUUCCUCCUCUAUUUACAAACUCCUGGGGAUGCAACAAGUGGGCGCGGUGCGUCGACUUCCGGAUCUGACGUCGACAAAUUUUUAGAAUCGAGCCGUCGACUUCGUCGAGUCUUCGCUACAGCCCUAUCAUUGAGCACAUUGAUCACCUGUUUUUGUUAACAGAACCUCUCAUUAAAACAUCAGUAGUUGAUAUACUGAAGAAGCAUAACUGUCUAUAUACUGACAAACUGGUCGAUGACAUUUGUCAGGCAGUUUCUGAUAGUAAUGUUUUACAUAAAUGUAUCACAUCUGGUGGACCACUGUCAACAGCAAAGAUGAGAAAAUCUUACUAUGAAGCAAACUUUCCGUAUGUCAAGCCUGUGGAGUAUUUAAUUGAAUCAUCAAAGCACACAUACAUGUAUGUGUCAAUUCUUACAUCUUUGCAAAUGUUGUUGAAAAAAACCAAAUUCCUUGAAAAAGUUCAACAAACACCCACUCAGAUACCUGGACAUUUCAUGUCAUUUUGUGAUGGAUCCUACUACCAGGAAAAUGUUCUACUCUCACAAGAGGGAACAAAACUUUCGAUAAUGCUUUAUGUGGAUGAUUUUGAAAUUGCAAACCCACUCGGUACUUCAAAGAAAAUACAUAAAGUUUUUGCAGUUUAUUGGACACUGGCAAACUUUCCAGUUAAAUCCCGUUCUGCUCUCCACUGCACUCAGCUUGCUCUCCUGUGCAACUCUAAUGAUGUGCGCCUGUUUGGGUUUAAGAAAAUGAUGUCACCACUCUUAAAUGAUCUGAAAACUCUUGAAGAAGUAGGCAUCUACAUUGAUACCCUUGGUGAAUGUCUUAAAGGCACUGUCUACUGUGUUGUGGCAGAUAACCUUGCCGCACAUGGGCUUGCUGGGUUCAAUGAGAGCUUCAGGUCUACACAUUUCUGCAGGUUUUGUCAUGCCACACAAAUAGAAAUGCAGACAAAAAAUGCAGUUACAGGGGAUUAUGUGCUGAGAACAAAGGAUCUUCAUGACAAUCUUUUACCAGAGCUUCAGAGCGAUGGCAGUGAGGGAAAUUGUGAUGUCAAAAACAGUUGUGUUCUUUCUGACCAUCUGUCAUUCUUCCAUCCUGUCACAGGCUUCCCACCUGACCUCCUGCACGACCUGUUUGAAGGCGUUGUUCCAGUGGAGAUAGCUCAUUGCUUAAAAGGUUUGAUUUCCAGUAAAUAUUUUACAUUAGAAGACUUAAAUCGAGCAAUAUUGCACUUUCCAUAUCAACAUUCUGACAAAGUUGAUCGCCCUCAUCCAAUACCCACUAAUUUUGCCAGUCGAGGGACCAUUGGUGGGAAUGCUCAUGAAAAUCAUGCCCUGCUUAUAAUGUUGCCUCUUCUCAUUGGCUCAAAAGUCCCAGAAAGAGACACGUUUUGGGAAGUGCUAAUGGAGUUAAAGGAUGUCGUUCAGCUUGCCAUGUCUCAGAUUUUUAAUGAAGAGACCAUUCAGUACUUGGCUUGUAAAAUAUUGGACCACCGGCAACUUUUCCAAGAAGUGUUUCCUAAUGUUCGAUUAAGGCCAAAGCAUCAUUACAUCGAGCAUUACCCACACUUGAUAAAAUGCUUUGGUCCCUUGGUCCACCUUUGGACAAUGAGAUUUGAGGGAAAGCAUAAGGUUUUCAAAAAAAUUAUUCAUGACACUCACAACUACAAAAAUGUGUUAAAAACUUUGGCAGAGCGACAUCAAAGUCAGAUGGCAUUUUAUUUGUCAUCCUCAAAGUUUUUCAAACCACAUGUUCAGACAUCCAAAAUGGAGUCUAUGUACAUCUCAUCACUACCUGCAGAUACACAAUCAUUUAUCUCAGGUAUUGUUGACAGUGACACAGUUUAUGGAACAAAAAAUAUCUCAAUUGAUGGCACAAGCUUUGCAAUUGGCAUGUUUGUAUGUACUGGUGCUUAUGCAGCCUUGCCAGAGUUCAAAGAGAUUCGAAACAUCCUACUCAUCAGCGACAAAAUGCAUUUUCUCUUAAAAGACUACGACACUUUGUAUGUUGAGCACUUGAGGUCAUACGAACUAGUCGAGCAUAUACCGGAGAGUCAUAGUGUCAAAUCUGUGUGCCAGCUGUCUGACCACCUGCCACAUUUUGCUUAUAAGAUUGCAAAUGAACUAAUUCUAACAACAAAACAUUUCAUUCCAGUGUCUGACUAAAGAAACAGAACUGAAAUAUCAGCGGAUCUCCCCAGCCCUUCUGCCAGUGUACAGGACCUACAACUUCAGAUGGAGGCAACAGAGAGACUGAAGCUAAGGGUCAUCCUUGAUAAUGAUAAUGCUGAAAGACUUAUUCUGCCAUCUCGCCCAAGCAGUGUACAGGCCCUCAUAGAUGAAAUCAAAACUAGGCUAAAGUUGACUUUUGACUUUAGGCUUCAGUUUGAAGAUCCAGAUUUUGAUCAUGCAUUGUGUAAUUUGGUUGAAAUGGAACACCUCCCAAGCACAGCAUCGGUUAAAAUAAUCAGAUUAGUGGAGCUGGACUUGAUUUCAACCAGCACUAGUGAGACAAGUCUUCUGAACGAUAGCACUGAUGCCAUAGAUUCACCAGAGCGUAUUAGUCGGUGGCCAGAGGUUUUUAUUGUUCCAAAAUUUUCUUAUGAGGUGGAACAUGUGCUAAAGGAAGGUAAUGCAGCAUUUGAAAAAGAUGGGAAACUAAUUAGACUUCCUAGAGAUCAAAAACACAACAUACUCGAGGUAAUGGGGGAAGAAAAUUUUUAAACUGAAGGCAUAUCCUAGUAGCACACAGAUUGGAAAGGCUGCAAAGGCUUUAGUUGAAAAGCAUCCCUGUCUGAAGGAGAACAAUUCUGACACUGGUUGGGAAGGAUGGAAGAAUAGUUUGAGACACAAAAUAGGAAACCAAAGAAAGAAGUUGGCCAAAGCCGGCAUCAGAGAUGUUGCUGUAAACUCUGGAAAACGCAGCAGAACAAACCCAGAAGGAGCUGCACCAAGAGCCAAUAGUAAAA